RNAcentral lists this transfer RNA (68 nucleotides) under Plestiodon capito. Its description in RNAcentral is "tRNA-Ala". It matches the Rfam family "tRNA". From Rfam's summary of the family: Transfer RNA (tRNA) molecules are approximately 80 nucleotides in length. Lineage: Eukaryota; Metazoa; Chordata; Lepidosauria; Squamata; Scincidae. The record is from RNAcentral.
GAGGCUUUGGCUUAAUUAAAGCGUUUGAGUUGCAAUCAUGAGAUGUGAAUUAAAGUUUCACAGGCCUU